Molecule: long non-coding RNA, 188 nt
Organism: Ostrea edulis (European flat oyster)
Lineage: Eukaryota; Metazoa; Mollusca; Bivalvia; Ostreida; Ostreidae
Exons: 4
Source: RefSeq, a predicted model, not a curated record
ACCAUUACAGAUACCCUAUUGUUCACAAGUACAGGCUGAGAAAGAAUCCCACAAAGGCAAGGAAAAGGAGUUCCUUCUUGUACGGUGAUGCUAAAGGAAGGUAUGUCACUGCAGACAGAAACUGUCAAGAAGUGGAUGAGAAGGUUACCUGUGAUGAGAAGGAAGAAUUGAGUGGUGAAGUAGUAAUG